AGUGAACGCUGGCGGCAGGCCUAACACAUGCAAGUCGAACGGCAGCACAGUAAGAGCUUGCUCUUACGGGUGGCGAGUGGCGGACGGGUGAGGUAUACAUCGGAAUCUACUUUUUCGUGGGGGAUAACGUAGGGAAACUUACGCUAAUACCGCAUACGACCUACGGGUGAAAGCAGGGGAUCUUCGGACCUUGCGCGAUUGAAUGAGCCGAUGUCGGAUUAGCUAGUUGGCGGGGUAAAGGCCCACCAAGGCGACGAUCCGUAGCUGGUCUGAGGGGGUGGUCACACAGACGGGAAGAGAGAAACGGUACAGACUCUUGCGGGGAGACACAGUGGAGAAUAUUGGGCAAUGGGGGAAAGCCUGAUCCAGCAAAACCGCGUGGGUGAAGAAGGACUUCGGGUUGGAAAGUGCUGUUGUUGUGAAAGAAAAACAGCAGGUUAAUACCCCGCGGUUAUGACGGUACCGGGAGAAUAAGCACCGGCUAACUUCGUG
Molecule: ribosomal RNA, 492 nt
Filed under: uncultured bacterium
Lineage: Bacteria
Description: partial 16S ribosomal RNA
Rfam family: Bacterial small subunit ribosomal RNA
Source: RNAcentral